AGGUCAGUAAGAGGACACCAUGCCUAUGUGAACAGCCAUCUGUCACAUGAAGCGGAGUGGGAAUUAUGAUACAAUAAAAAAUACAAUGGAACACACAAACACAACAAACCUUUGGGGACAAGCGUAUGGAGAGAGCAGAGGUCCAGAGGGGCAGAGUGUGAUGGCUGAGUUGAGACACAGCACAGAUCAAACAGCAGGAGCAGCAGCUGAGACCUCACAAG
Molecule: long non-coding RNA, 221 nt
Organism: Mus musculus (house mouse)
Lineage: Eukaryota; Metazoa; Chordata; Mammalia; Rodentia; Muridae
Product: predicted gene, 40207
Exons: 3
Source: RefSeq, a predicted model, not a curated record